GAUGAACGCUAGCUACAGGCUUAACACAUGCAAGUCGCGGGGCAGCAUGGGGGUUGCUUGCAAUCCCCGAUGGCGACCGGCGCACGGGUGAGUAACGCGUAUCCAACCUGCCCUUCACCACGGGAUAACCCGGCGAAAGUCGGACUAAUACCGUAUGUUGUCCAUUGACGGCACCCGAUUUGGACGAAAGGCUUGGCGGUGAGGGAUGGGGAUGCGUCCGAUUAGCCAGACGGCGGGGUAACGGCCCACCGUGGCUACGAUCGGUAGGGGUUCUGAGAGGAAGGUCCCCCACACUGGAACUGAGACACGGUCCAGACUCCUACGGGAGGCAGCAGUGAGGAAUAUUGGUCAAUGGGCGUAAGCCUGAACCAGCCAAGUAGCGUGCAGGAUGACGGCCCUAUGGGUUGUAAACUGCUUUUAUGCGGGGAUAAAGUGGCCCACGCGUGGGCUUUUGCAGGUACCGCAUGAAUAAGGACCGGCUAAUUCCGUG
Molecule: ribosomal RNA, 490 nt
Filed under: uncultured bacterium
Lineage: Bacteria
Description: partial 16S ribosomal RNA
Rfam family: Bacterial small subunit ribosomal RNA
Source: RNAcentral